Molecule: ribosomal RNA, 467 nt
Filed under: uncultured bacterium
Lineage: Bacteria
Description: bacterial SSU rRNA
Rfam family: Bacterial small subunit ribosomal RNA
Source: RNAcentral
GAACGGCAGCACAGGUAGCUAUACCGGGUGGCGAGUGGCGGACGGGUGAGGAAUACACCGGGACCUGCCCAGACGUGGGGGAUAACGUAGGGAAACUUACGCUAAUACCGCAUACGUCCUACGGGAGAAAGCGGGGGAUCGCAAGACCUCGCGCGGUUGGAUGGACCGAUGUUCGAUUAGCUAGUUGGUAGGGUAAUGGCCUACCAAGGCGACGAUCGAUAGCUGGUCUGAGAGGAUGAUCAGCCACACUGGGACUGAGACACGGCCCAUACUCCUACGGGAGGCAGCAGUGGGGAAUAUUGGACAAUGGGCGCAAGCCUGAUCCAGCAAUGCCGCGUGUGUGAAGAAGGCCUCCGGGUUGUAAAGCACUUUUAUCAGGAGCGAAAUACUACCGGCUAAUACCCGGUGGGGCUGACGGUACCUGAGGAAUAAGCACCGGCUAACUUCGUGCCAGCAGCCGCGGUAAU